Molecule: long non-coding RNA, 1716 nt
Organism: Heterocephalus glaber (naked mole-rat)
Lineage: Eukaryota; Metazoa; Chordata; Mammalia; Rodentia; Bathyergidae
Source: Ensembl
GUCUGAUGCUCAGCUCAGGUCCCAGCCAGUAAUAAACUCCUGUGUGGAUUUGGUAUCAGUCUCUGGUUGGUUCUUUCUCACUGGGUGCAACAUUCUUAGAGGCCCCAGUGAGAUAGCCAGCUGCUCUGGAACUUAUUAUCUUGGAUCCAUUGUUUCUUUUUAGAAAAGACCAGGAUUGGACAUCCGCAGUGUUCGGCCCCUCUGAACACCGGUCUGUGGAAGGAGAGGGCACCCUGAUGGUAUUCUGGGGCUCGGCCACCCUGACGGUAUUUAGGCCAGUCCCAGCCGGGCCCUAUCACCGAUCAACCGACCCGCAGGAGUUUAUUGGGAAAGCCUCUAGAGACAAGGAAGAUGAAUAUGGCAUGAACCUGGGAUGAUUGCCAGCAGCUUUUACAGAUCCUGUUCACCACUGAGGAACGGACCGCAUUUAACAACAAGCAGUCAAAGAGGCCCUGGGGCCAAACCCCAGCAUCACUCCUGGAACUCCAGGGCAUUUGGCCAGGGCUGAAACAGUAGUUCCGUCGUGACACCCCAAAUGGGACCCCAGUGAUGAUGAUGUCUCUUCAAGCCUUACAGAUUCUUCAGAGUGAGAUCCAGGCUACAAGACAACAGGCUCGAGAAAAAGCCUCUGCGACAUUCCAGCCCCAUGGUUUCAAGUCAGGAGACCUGGUCCUGAUAUGCUUGGUCUGCUUGCACCGAGGACUUGACUAUUUAAAUACAUUCCCAAAUCAAUCUUGGCUACCCAAUCUGCCACUUUAUUUUGUGUCAUGGUGUAUGUUUUCCACAAGUCUUGUAUUAUAAUAAAAAAGGAGGCCGCGAACAUCUGGGAUUAACCACUGAACACUAUAGGAGUAAAUGGGCUGCCCCCGUUUUAGUGCCCAUUCUGGUGGGAUUAGGAAUAGCCAGGUCAGCGGCUAUUGGAACUUCCUCCCUGAUCCUUCAGGACAAAUUUUAAAGCCCUAAGCCACCAGGUAGCCAGAGAUUUGGGUUGCCUGAAAGACUUGAUCUCUAGAUUAAAAAACCAGGUUGAUUCCCUAGCUGAGAUGGUCCUACAAAUCAAAGGGGACUUGACCUCCUGUUCAUGAAACAAAAAGGGUUAUGUGUAGCCCUAAAAAAACCCAAAAACCUGUUGCUUCUAUGCUAAUGGUUAACUACCCUAGUUUCUGCUAUAGCAGGCCCCCUAGUUAUCUUACUUCUGCUUUUGCUCGUGAGACCUUACAUUACAAAUGCUCUGACUAAAUACAUUAGACAGAGGGUUGAUACAGUUAAACUGGUGGUGUUGAGACAAAAUUAUGAAAUUUUAAAAGACGUUUUAAAAAAAAUUCAAAGAGUAAAUAUAGGAAUCAAAGAUUUGAUUAAGUUACAAGAACCAGUGGGGCAGGAAAGACCCUGGUUAGCAAGACAGACUCCAUAUUGCUGCUUGACCCACCUGUCUGCCCUUUAGAUGAACUCAGAAGGAGGAAGCUUAAAAACCUCCUCCCCUUUGAAAGCCUCUUUAGAACUAACAAUUAAUCAACUAUUGUAUUACAAAUGUUCUAACAGCAGGACGUUCUGCUUCUGUACCUUUUGCUUGCUUUACUAGUUCUAUCUCAUAGGGGGGCCUAGAAACUGUUGGCCUCAAAGGUGUAUAAAACAUGUUUGUCUUCCCCCAGUUGAGGCUCGAGUCUGAUGCUCGGCUCGAGUCCCAGCCAGUAAUAAACUCCUGUGUGGAUUUAA